Melanotaenia boesemani (Boeseman's rainbowfish) is the source of this 651-nucleotide long non-coding RNA. RefSeq lists it as uncharacterized. The transcript is spliced from 4 exons. The record is from RefSeq and is a predicted model, not a curated record. NCBI's taxonomy places the organism in Eukaryota, Metazoa, Chordata, Actinopteri, Atheriniformes, Melanotaeniidae.
UGGACAGUGGGACAGGCUUAAGGCAUCUCAUGUGGAUGAGUACAAGACCAGAACAGCAGAGGAUGGAUCUGCAGAAUGGGAACAAGAAAGUGAGAUUGUGACCAAAAGCUGUGAUUCGUGCAAAAAUUGCCCACUGUGCUGCUAUCAACUUCUCAGACGGUUCAACAUGCUCUCAGAUGUUUAUCGUCUCCUUGGGCUUGCAUACAAGUACCUGCUGACCCUCUCUCUGACUCAGGAUGCUGUCACUCAUUUUUGGAAGCCUGCUGUGGUUUCCUCAAAGGUUCCAUGUUUGAGGAAAUAUUAUGUGCUGCUGACCUGAGUUUUGCUGCUGCUGGAUGUCAAUGCUGACUUUAUUAAUAUGGUUUAUUAAUAUGGAUCCAAGAAUAUGUUGUUCAUUUGUUCAGGAGAUUGAGUACACCAUGCAUCCUUUUGGUUCUCUCCAAGUACUGUAAGUACUGCAUGGAACUGAUUAUUCAACUAUUUCUCUGGAGUACAUAGACCAGUACUGUGAUCACCUGAGUAAGUCCAUCAAGUGUUAUUCUUUCUCACCUUUUUCUGUCUGUCUCCUAUCACUUUUUGAAGGGUUCCAUGUUGGAGGAAAUAUUCUUUGCUACUCUGCUGUUUGUGUGGAAUAAAUAAUCUCUAAAAAUA